GUAGGUGGCAAGCGUUGUCCGGAAUUAUUGGGCGUAAAGCGCGCGCAGGCGGUCCUUUAAGUCUGAUGUGAAAGCCCACGGCUCAACCGUGGAGGGUCAUUGGAAACUGGGGGACGUUGAGUACAGAAGAGGAAAGCGGAAUUCCAAGUGUAGCGGUGAAAUGCGUAGAGAUUUGGAGGAACACCAGUGGCGAAGGCGGCUUUCUGGUCUGUAACUGACGCUGAGGCGCGAAAGCGUGGGGAGCAAACAGGGAUUAGAUACCCUGGUAGUCCACGCCGUAAACGAUGAGUGCUAAGUGUUAGGGGGUUUCCCGCCCCUUAGUGCUGCAGCUAACGCAUUAAGCACUCCGCCUGGGGAUACGGCCGCAAGGCUG
RNAcentral lists this ribosomal RNA (373 nucleotides) under uncultured organism. Its description in RNAcentral is "partial 16S ribosomal RNA". It matches the Rfam family "Bacterial small subunit ribosomal RNA", at positions 527 to 896 of the family's 1533-position model. The record is from RNAcentral.